GAGCUACUUAGUGGCGGACGGGUGAGUAACGCGUGGGUAACCUGCCCUAUGCAGGGGGAUAACAGUUGGAAACGACUGUUAAUACCGCAUAAGCGCACAGUAUCGCAUGGUACAGUGUGAAAAACUCCGGUGGCAUAGGAUGGACCCGCGUCUGAUUAGCUAGUUGGUGAGGUAACGGCCCACCAAGGCGACGAUCAGUAGCCGGCCUGAGAGGGUGUACGGCCACAUUGGGACUGAGACACGGCCCAAACUCCUACGGGAGGCAGCAGUGGGGAAUAUUGGACAAUGGGGGAAACCCUGAUCCAAGCGACGCCGCGUGAACGAUGAAGUAUUUCGGUAUGUAAAGUUCUAUCAGCAGGGAAGAUAAUGACGGUACCUGACUAAGAAGCACCGGCUAAAUACGUGCCAGCCGCCGC
Molecule: ribosomal RNA, 416 nt
Filed under: uncultured bacterium
Lineage: Bacteria
Description: bacterial SSU rRNA
Rfam family: Bacterial small subunit ribosomal RNA
Source: RNAcentral